This 873-nucleotide ribosomal RNA is filed under the name Triticum aestivum (bread wheat). Its description in RNAcentral is "partial small subunit ribosomal RNA". Lineage: Eukaryota; Viridiplantae; Streptophyta; Magnoliopsida; Poales; Poaceae. The record is from RNAcentral.
CUAUGGCGGACACAGAUCACGCCACAGCUGCGGGGCGCCGGCGUCUUCCACUACGUCGAUGGCACGGCGACCGAGCCGGCCAAAGUCUUCCUCACCACCAAGGAUGCCACCGGCAAGGAGACCACUGGGCCGAAUCCCCUUCAUCCGCUCUGGGUGAGGGAGGACCAGCAGGUCCUUGGAUACCUGCUCCAAAACCUCUCCAAGGAGGUGCUCGUCGCGGUGACCACGAUCACCACGGCGCGCGAACUCUGGGUGGCACUGGUGAGCAUGUUCUCGUCGCAGUCACUCAGCCGCGUCAACAACAUCCGCACAACGCUGAUCAAUGUGCAGAAGGGCAAUCAAUCGGUGGCCUCCUUCUUCGCCACCAUGAGGGGUCUCGCCGAUGAACUCGCCGCGGCGGGAAAACCCAUCCAGGAUGACGAGCUCAUGUCCUACAUUUUCCACGGGCUGGACCAAGAUUAUCAGCCCCUUGUCUCCGCACUGGAUGCCCGCGUCACCCCGGUAACCCUUGAUGAACUUUUUGCCAUGCUCAGUAACUGUGAUCAACGCAUGGCGCAGUACCAUGGCUCCGGUGUUGGCUUCAAAUCGUCGGCCAACUCUGCAUUCAGAGGCCGCGGUGGUGGCUCUCGCUCGCGUCCAUCUCCCCGUGGCAAGGGGAGGUUCGGCUCCGGCGGUGGUGGCUACUCCAACAACCCACGCGGCGGCGGACGCUCUGGCAACUCCAAAGGGCGUUGCGGUGGUGGCUCCAGCAGAUCCCGUCCGGACUUGCCUCGCUUCCAAAUUUGUGGCAAGCCUGGCCAUACGGCGAAGGACUGUUGGUACCGCUACGAAGAAGAUGGCGGUGACUCCUCGCAAGAUGAAGAAAAAGUUGUC